This 255-nucleotide ribosomal RNA is filed under the name uncultured bacterium. Its description in RNAcentral is "partial 16S ribosomal RNA". It matches the Rfam family "Bacterial small subunit ribosomal RNA", at positions 98 to 353 of the family's 1533-position model. The record is from RNAcentral.
CGGGACGGGUGAGUAAUGUCUGGGAAACUGCCUGAUGGAGGGGGAGUAACUACUGGAAACGGUAGCUAAUACCGCAUAACGUCGCAAGACCAAAGAGGGGGACCUUCGGGCCUCUUGCCAUCAGAUGUGCCCAGAUGGGAUUAGCUAGUAGGUGGGGUAACGGCUCACCUAGGCGACGAUCCCUAGCUGGUCUGAGAGGAUGACCAGCCACACUGGAACUGAGACACGGUCCAGACUCCUACGGGAGGCAGCAUG